UGGGGGAUAUUGCACAAUGGGCGAAAGCCUGAUGCAGCGACGCCGCGUGGGGGAUGAAGGCUUUCGGGUUGUAAACCUCUUUCGCUAUCGAACAAGGCCCGCUUAGGGUGGGUUGAGGGUAGGUGGAGAAGAAGCGCCGGCUAACUACGUGCCAGCAGCCGCGGUAAUACGUAGGGCGCGAGCGUUGUCCGGAAUUAUUGGGCGUAAAGGGCUUGUAGGCGGCUUGUUGCGCCUGCUGUGAAAACGCGGGGCUUAACUUCGCGCGUGCAGUGGGUACGGGCAGGCUUGAGUGUGGUAGGGGUGAUUGGAAUUCCAGGUGUAGCGGUGGAAUGCGCAGAUAUCUGGAGGAACACCGAUGGCGAAGGCAGGUCACUGGGCCAUUACUGACGCUGAGGAGCGAAAGCAUGGGUAGCGAACAGG
RNAcentral lists this ribosomal RNA (420 nucleotides) under bacterium. RNAcentral describes it as "partial 16S ribosomal RNA". It matches the Rfam family "Bacterial small subunit ribosomal RNA", at positions 355 to 776 of the family's 1533-position model. The record is from RNAcentral.